RNAcentral lists this non-coding RNA (44 nucleotides) under Trypanosoma brucei brucei. The record is from RNAcentral. Lineage: Eukaryota; Euglenozoa; Kinetoplastea; Trypanosomatida; Trypanosomatidae.
AAAACGCAUAUAGAUAAGUCUGUGUAUAAGUGAUGAUAGUAUUA